This 938-nucleotide ribosomal RNA is filed under the name uncultured Ascomycota. RNAcentral's name for it is "eukaryotic LSU rRNA". It matches the Rfam family "Eukaryotic large subunit ribosomal RNA", at positions 1 to 953 of the family's 3401-position model. The record is from RNAcentral. Lineage: Eukaryota; Fungi; Ascomycota.
CUCUUGACCUCGGAUCAGGUAGGGAUACCCGCUGAACUUAAGCAUAUCAAUAAGCGGAGGAAAAGAAACCAACAGGGAUUGCCCUAGUAACGGCGAGUGAAGCGGCAACAGCUCAAAUUUGAAAUCUGGCGUCUUCGGCGUCCGAGUUGUAAUUUGCAGAGGGCGCUUUGGCAUCGGCAGCGGUCCAAGUUCCUUGGAACAGGACGUCACAGGGGGUGAGAAUCCCGUACGUGGUCGCUAGCCUUUACCGUGUAAAGCCCCUUCGACGAGUCGAGUUGUUUGGGAAUGCAGCUCUAAAUGGGAGGUAAAUUUCUUCUAAAGCUAAAUACUGGCCAGAGACCGAUAGCGCACAAGUAGAGUGAUCGAAAGAUGAAAAGCACUUUGGAAAGAGAGUUAAAAAGCACGUGAAAUUGUUGAAAGGGAAGCGCUUGCAGCCAGACUUGCCUGUAGUUGCUCAUCCGGGUUUCUACCCGGUGCACUCUUCUAUAGGCAGGCCAGCAUCAGUUUGGGCGGUUGGAUAAAGGUCUCUGUCAUGUACCUCUCUUCGGGGAGAACUUAUAGGGGAGACGACAUGCAACCAGCCUGGACUGAGGUCCGCGCAUCUGCUAGGAUGCUGGCGUAAUGGCUGUAAGCGGCCCGUCUUGAAACACGGACCAAGGAGUCUAGCAUCUAUGCGAGUGUUUGGGUGUCAAGCCCGAGCGCGUAAUGAAAGUGAACGGAGGUGGGAACCUUUCGGGGUGCACCAUCGACCGAUCCUGAUGUCUUCGGAUGGAUUUGAGUAAGAGCAUAGCUGUUGGGACCCGAAAGAUGGUGAACUAUGCUUGAAUAGGGUGAAGCCAGAGGAAACUCUGGUGGAGGCUCGCAGCGGUUCUGACGUGCAAAUCGAUCGUCAAAUUUGGGCAUAGGGGCGAAAGACUAAUCGAACUAUCUAGUAGCUG